UACGAAGGAUCCGAGCGUUGUCCGGAUUUACUGGGUGUAAAGGGCGCGUAGGCGGCCUGCUAAGUCGAACGUGAAAUCCCCGGGCUCAACCCGGGAACUGCGUCCGAUACUGGUUGGCUUGAAUCCGGGAGAGGGAUGCGGAAUUCCAGGUGUAGCGGUGAAAUGCGUAGAUAUCUGGAGGAACACCGGUGGCGAAGGCGGCAUCCUGGACCGGUAUUGACGCUGAGGCGCGAAAGCCAGGGGAGCAAACGGG
Molecule: ribosomal RNA, 253 nt
Filed under: uncultured bacterium
Lineage: Bacteria
Description: partial 16S ribosomal RNA
Rfam family: Bacterial small subunit ribosomal RNA
Source: RNAcentral